This 356-nucleotide ribosomal RNA is filed under the name Heteroctenus abudi. RNAcentral describes it as "partial 16S ribosomal RNA". It matches the Rfam family "Archaeal large subunit ribosomal RNA", at positions 2046 to 2637 of the family's 2987-position model. The record is from RNAcentral. Lineage: Eukaryota; Metazoa; Arthropoda; Arachnida; Scorpiones; Buthidae.
UAGUCUUAUAAUUUGAGNCUGGAAUGAAAGAAUAAACGGGAAAAGCUUUUUCUUAAUUGUUAUUUUUAAAUUUUACUUUUUAGUAAGAAGGCUAAAAUAUUUCCUUAAGACAAGAAGACCCUAUAAAGCUUUACACUGACUAAUUUAACAAAUUGAUUAUGUGUUUUACUGGGGCGGUAAAAAGAGAAACACUUUUAUAUAAGUAAAACGAAACUGUUUUAAUACCCAAAAGUUUUGAAAAUUAAAUAAGUUACUUUAGGGAUAACAGCGUUAUAUAUUUAGAAAGUUCAAAUUGACAAAUAUGUUUGCGACCUCGAUGUUGGAUUAGAUUCCCUUUAUUACGCAAGAGUAAUAUA